Molecule: ribosomal RNA, 408 nt
Filed under: uncultured bacterium
Lineage: Bacteria
Description: bacterial SSU rRNA
Rfam family: Bacterial small subunit ribosomal RNA
Source: RNAcentral
UGGGGAAUCUUGCACAAUGGGCGCAAGCCUGAUGCAGCGACGCCGCGUGGGGGAUGAAUGCCUUCGGGUUGUAAACCCCUUUCGGCAGGGACGAAGCGAAAGUGACGGUACCUGCAGAAGAAGUCCCGGCUAACUACGUGCCAGCAGCCGCGGUAAGACGUAGGGGACGAGCGUUGUCCGGAUUUAUUGGGCGUAAAGCGCGCGCAGGCGGCCACGUAAGUCGGAUGUGAAAUCCCGGGGCUCAACCCCGGAACUGCAUUCGAUACUGCGUGGCUCGAGGUAGGUAGGGGAGAUCGGAAUUCCUGGUGUAGCGGUGGAAUGCGCAGAUAUCAGGAGGAACACCGGUGGCGAAGGCGGAUCUCUGGGCCUUACCUGACGCUCAGGCGCGAAAGCUAGGGGAGCGAACAG